UACGAAGGGGGCUAGCGUUGCUCGGAAUGACUGGGCGUAAAGGGCGCGUAGGCGGAUUGGUCAGUCAGACGUGAAAUUCCUGGGCUUAACCUGGGGGCUGCGUUUGAGACGGCUGAUCUAGAGUGGGGAAGAGGGUCGUGGAAUUCCCAGUGUAGAGGUGAAAUUCGUAGAUAUUGGGAAGAACACCGGUGGCGAAGGCGGCUCACUGGCUCGUAACUGACGCUCAUGGCACGACAGCCGUGGGGAUCAAACAGG
This 255-nucleotide ribosomal RNA is filed under the name uncultured bacterium. RNAcentral describes it as "partial 16S ribosomal RNA". It matches the Rfam family "Bacterial small subunit ribosomal RNA", at positions 524 to 776 of the family's 1533-position model. The record is from RNAcentral.